RNAcentral lists this non-coding RNA (34 nucleotides) under Geobacter metallireducens GS-15. The record is from RNAcentral. Lineage: Bacteria; Pseudomonadati; Thermodesulfobacteriota; Desulfuromonadia; Geobacterales; Geobacteraceae.
ACCAUCACCCCAGGGAUCGGCACGGCCCGCAUCG